GACUUUUUAACUAUAUAAGUAUAUAUUUUGAAAAUAUAAAAAAGAGGGUAUCUCUAUUAGUCU
Molecule: transfer RNA, 63 nt
Filed under: Haemaphysalis doenitzi
Lineage: Eukaryota; Metazoa; Arthropoda; Arachnida; Ixodida; Ixodidae
Also listed under: 2 other names
Description: tRNA-Ser
Source: RNAcentral